Molecule: long non-coding RNA, 518 nt
Filed under: Marmota monax (woodchuck)
Lineage: Eukaryota; Metazoa; Chordata; Mammalia; Rodentia; Sciuridae
Source: RNAcentral
CUCAGGACACAGCAUGGACAUGAAGGUCCCACCCAGCUCCUAGGGCUCCUGCUGCUCUGCCUCCCAGGUAAGGAGGGACAAUCCUGGGGAUGUGCUCAGCACAGUGUGGUCAGUGCUGCCUGGCUAUUUAGGGAAAUCCUCUUAUGACACUAUUAAUUAUGCAUACAUUUAUUUACAUUUGUCUAACUUCAGGUGCAGAUGUGACAUCACAAUGACCCAGUCUCCAUCCUACCUGUCUACAUCUUGAGAAGAAAAAAUCACCAUCACAUGCCGGCAAGUCAGGGCAUUAGCAGUUACUUAAACUGGUACCAGCAAAAAACAGGUCAAGCUUCUAAGUGUCUCAAUUAUGGUGCAUCCAAUCUGCAAUCUGGUGUCCCCAUAAGGUUCAGUGGCAGUGGAGCUGGGACGGAUUUCACUCUCACCAUCAGCAGCCUGGAGCCUGAAAAUGUUGCCACUUAUUACUGUCUACAGUAUAUCAGUUGGCCACCCACAGUGACACAGGCCAUGACAAAAAACUC